Molecule: ribosomal RNA, 393 nt
Filed under: Klebsiella sp. VI35
Lineage: Bacteria; Pseudomonadati; Pseudomonadota; Gammaproteobacteria; Enterobacterales; Enterobacteriaceae
Description: bacterial SSU rRNA
Rfam family: Bacterial small subunit ribosomal RNA
Source: RNAcentral
AAGGACCUUACCUACUCUUGACAUCCAGAGAACUUAGCAGAGAUGCUUUGGUGCCUUCGGGAACCGUGAGACAGGUGCUGCAUGGCUGUCGUCAGCUCGUGUUGUGAAAUGUUGGGUUAAGUCCCGCAACGAGCGCAACCCUUAUCCUUUGUUGCCAGCGGUCCGGCCGGGAACUCAAAGGAGACUGCCAGUGAUAAACUGGAGGAAGGUGGGGAUGACGUCAAGUCAUCAUGGCCCUUACGAGUAGGGCUACACACGUGCUACAAUGGCAUAUACAAAGAGAAGCGACCUCGCGAGAGCAAGCGGACCUCAUAAAGUAUGUCGUAGUCCGGAUUGGAGUCUGCAACUCGACUCCAUGAAGUCGGAAUCGCUAGUAAUCGUGGAUCAGAAUGC